AGGGUAUAGACCCGAAACCCGGUGAUCUAGCCAUGGGCAGGUUGAAGGUUGGGUAACACUAACUGGAGGACCGAACCGACUAAUGUUGAAAAAUUAGCGGAUGACCUGUGGCUGGGGGUGAAAGGCCAAUCAAACCGGGAGAUAGCUGGUUCUCCCCGAAAGCUAUUUAGGUAGCGCCUCGUGAAUUCAUCUCCGGGGGUAGAGCACUGUUUCGGCUAGGGGGCCAUCCCGGCUUACCAACCCGAUGCAAACUGCGAAUACCGGAGAAUGUUAUCACGGGAGACACACGGCGGGUGCUAACGUCCGUCGUGAAGAGGGAAACAACCCAGACCGCCAGCUAAGGUCCCAAAGUCAUGGUUAAGUGGGAAACGAUGUGGGAAGGCCCAGACAGCCAGGAUGUUGGCUUAGAAGCAGCCAUCAUUUAAAGAAAGCGUAAUAGCUCACUGGUCGAGUCGGCCUGCGCGGAAGAUGUAACGGGGCUAAACCAUGCACCGAAGCUGCGGCAGCGACGCUGAUGCGUUGUUGGGUAGGGGAGCGUUCUGUAAGCCUGUGAAGGUGGCCUGUGAGGGUUGCUGGAGGUAUCAGAAGUGCGAAUGCUGACAUAAGUAACGAUAAAGCGGGUGAAAAGCCCGCUCGCCGGAAGACCAAGGGUUCCUGUCCAACGUUAAUCGGGGCAGGGUGAGUCGACCCCUAAGGCGAGGCCGAAAGGCGUAGUCGAUGGGAAACGGGUUAAUAUUCCCGUACUUGGUGUUACUGCGAAGGGGGGACGGAGAAGGCUAUGUUGGCCGGGCGACGGUU
RNAcentral lists this ribosomal RNA (798 nucleotides) under Salmonella enterica. Its description in RNAcentral is "partial 23S ribosomal RNA". It matches the Rfam family "Bacterial large subunit ribosomal RNA", at positions 704 to 1503 of the family's 2925-position model. The record is from RNAcentral. Lineage: Bacteria; Pseudomonadati; Pseudomonadota; Gammaproteobacteria; Enterobacterales; Enterobacteriaceae.